Molecule: ribosomal RNA, 468 nt
Filed under: uncultured bacterium
Lineage: Bacteria
Description: partial 16S ribosomal RNA
Rfam family: Bacterial small subunit ribosomal RNA
Source: RNAcentral
GACGAACGCUGGCGGCGUGCUUAACACAUGCAAGUCGAACGGAAAGGCCCUGCUUUUGUGGGGUGCUCGAGUGGCGAACGGGUGAGUAACACGUGAGUAACCUGCCCUUGACUUUGGGAUAACUUCAGGAAACUGGGGCUAAUACCGGAUAGGAGCUCCUGCUGCAUGGUGGGGGUUGGAAAGUUUCGGCGGUUGGGGAUGGACUCGCGGCUUAUCAGCUUGUUGGUGGGGUAGUGGCUUACCAAGGCUUUGACGGGUAGCCGGCCUGAGAGGGUGACCGGCCACAUUGGGACUGGGAUACGGCCCAGACUCCUACGGGAGGCAGCAGUGGGGAAUAUUGCACAAUGGGCGGAAGCCUGAUGCAGCAACGCCGCGUGCGGGAUGACGGCCUUCGGGUUGUAAACCGCUUUCGCCUGUGACGAAGCGUGAGUGACGGUAAUGGGUAAAGAAGCUCCGGCUAACUACGUG